RNAcentral lists this ribosomal RNA (346 nucleotides) under uncultured Coprococcus sp. RNAcentral's name for it is "partial 16S ribosomal RNA". The record is from RNAcentral. Lineage: Bacteria; Bacillati; Bacillota; Clostridia; Lachnospirales; Lachnospiraceae.
GGAGUUUGGGCCGUGUCUCAGUCCCAAUGUGGCCGUUCACCCGUUAAGGCCGGCUACUGAUCGUCGCCUUGGUGGGCCGUUACCUCACCAACUAGCUAAUCAGACGCGGGUCCAUCCUUAUCCGUCGCAGCUUUUCACACUGUACCAUGCGGUACUGUGCGCUUAUGCGGUAUUAGCAGUCGUUUCCGACUGUUAUCCCCCUGAUAAGGGUAGGUUACCCACGCGUUACUCACCCGUCCGCCACUAAGUUGCUUCGGUGUUCGCCCCUUCGAGCAAGCUCUCCGGUUUGAACGGUGAAACAACUCCGUUCGACUUGCAUGUGUUAAGCACGCCGCCAGCGUUCAUC